UUUACAUUUCAUUGUGAAUGUCACACUUGUCACUCAUCUAAGGCUUACAACCGGUAUAUAAACAACAAUAUUUCCGCGGUGUAGUCAUUUAACGUCGGACAUUAAUCACGUUGAGACCCUUCUUCUUGAGUUGAGAUGGCUUAUACAUUGACGUUGAUCUUGGUGGUGGUCACUGUUGUGGUCUAUGCGUAUGCCCAGUACGACACAUUCCCUUUAGGCCUCGAUCCUUAUUGUUUGAAGAAAACACCAGAAAUAUACGGACCGUGCAAAAAACCGCGAACCAUUUGGACGUUUGACUGGUGCGCACUGAAGUGUGUUCAGCGAACUGGAUGUUUCCAACCUGGUAACCAGGAAAUAAACGCUUUUCCUUCGAAAAUAGGUUGUUAUAUGUGGUGCAGCAGAUCCUACGAAUAGUUACUUGUAUGUCAUGAAAUAAAGCUGUACGACAACAUACCAUA
Molecule: long non-coding RNA, 458 nt
Organism: Dreissena polymorpha
Lineage: Eukaryota; Metazoa; Mollusca; Bivalvia; Myida; Dreissenidae
Exons: 3
Source: RefSeq, a predicted model, not a curated record